GAUUUGGUGAUCCAGUGGUUUGAGUGAAGGACUAUGACUCUGAAGAACAGGGUUCAAAUCCCUGCUCAGCCA
Molecule: non-coding RNA, 72 nt
Organism: Phrynosoma platyrhinos (Desert horned lizard)
Lineage: Eukaryota; Metazoa; Chordata; Lepidosauria; Squamata; Phrynosomatidae
Source: the annotation of a GenBank genome assembly